GUGAACAAACGUCACGUCUGCUUUUGUUGUCAGAGUUACACUACUGUUGGAUGGUUCUGACUUUUUUACAUCAAUCUGUGUUUACGUCUGGCUGCAUUUAGGCUCUACAAGUUGAUUUUAAUGUUAGUGAAAUGAAUGGAAACAAAUGGCUGCCUUGAACGGAGGAAAAACACAUUAAAAAGUCUAAAACAGCACUGCAUUCUUGGGAAGAUACAGUAAAGUGACAUACCUGUGAUUUGUAGUGAAUGAGGGUGCUUUAGUUUUUAAAGCUGUAUGUUUCUGCAUGUAGAGGUGUCGUGGCAGUCUGUUAAUUUUGCAUGUUGAUACCACUGGGCUUAUGUUGUUGAUUUAGAUGCAUUAAAAAUACAAGUUGCACAAGUCAAAGAGUAUCUGACUGUAGUUAAUGUGCUGGUUCAUAUGUUGUACAAAACUCCACCAUACAGAUGGAUAUAAUAACAUUUUUUUUAUUCUCUUUUUUUUUUUUUAACAGACUUCUAUCAGCUAUAGUAAGAAGAACCCCAAUUGUUACUACCAAGGUGGAAAGGAAGUCUGCUAAGUCCGGGUUUUGGUUGGGCGUAUCUGACUUUCUCACCAGAGACAGCAGUUUACGUCCUGUCUCAGACCAACAGGUGAAAGCGAGACUAUAACUUUUGCAAGAAAAAGUAACACAGCCUCCCUCUUUGAAAAUGAAAAGUAACUCUAUGUCGCCGAUGGAAUCCAUUGUGACUGCUGUGAAUCCUCCUCCAUGACGGAGCAACAUCAAAACUUUUCAGAGCCACCUUUCAAGCCUGCAAGGGAUCUGUAAAUGGAGAUCCAAGGAUGCAGAAGGAAUUCAAAUCUUCGACAAGAGCAGCUGUUGUGUUCAGGGCUGCUGACUGACGUGUACGCCAACCUGAAGCAGGAGGUGUUCUGUGUCUUGGUAAGGCAGGUGAAAGCACCCGGGGCUGUCGUCGUCAGGUGACCAAAAGGAGGACGGCUUCAUGUAGUGGAGUUCGCGGCGUACACAGCGAGGGCACGGCUGAGCUUUCUGUCGACACUCGGCGUGGAAC
Long non-coding RNA from Siniperca chuatsi (mandarin fish), 1049 nucleotides. RefSeq lists it as uncharacterized. The transcript has 4 exons. The record is from RefSeq and is a predicted model, not a curated record. NCBI's taxonomy places the organism in Eukaryota, Metazoa, Chordata, Actinopteri, Centrarchiformes, Sinipercidae.